UACGUAGGGGCGAGCGUUGUCCGGAUUUAUUGGGCGUAAAGAGCGUGUAGGCGGCCAGGUAGGUCUGCUGUGAAAACUCGAGGCUCAACCUCGAGACGUCGGCGGAAACCAUCUGGCUAGAGUCCGGAAGAGGAGAGUGGAAUUCCUGGUGUAGCGGUGAAAUGCGCAGAUAUCAGGAAGAACACCCGUGGCGAAGGCGGCUCUCUGGGACGGUACUGACGCUGAGACGCGAAAAGCGUGGGGGAGCGAAACAGGG
RNAcentral lists this ribosomal RNA (256 nucleotides) under uncultured bacterium. RNAcentral describes it as "partial 16S ribosomal RNA". It matches the Rfam family "Bacterial small subunit ribosomal RNA", at positions 524 to 777 of the family's 1533-position model. The record is from RNAcentral.